Molecule: non-coding RNA, 76 nt
Organism: Myotis brandtii (Brandt's bat)
Lineage: Eukaryota; Metazoa; Chordata; Mammalia; Chiroptera; Vespertilionidae
Source: Rfam
GAGACAAUCUUCUGGGGCAAGACUUGCUUCAGUGGGGCUUUGGUGCCCACUGAGUCUGCUCCCUAAGUGUGUCCCU